ACACCUAAACUUAAAGAGGAAAGGUUUAUUUAGCUCACAUUUUGUGGAGGUUUGGGUCCAUAGCCAGCUGGCUCCAAAGCAGCGUGGUUCAUGACAGAAGGGCGAAGCAGAGGAGAAACAGCCCAUGGAGCCCACACGGUAGCAAAAGCAACAAGGGACCUUAGCAGGGUCUUCCUGCCCCUUUUAUAUCAUCCAGAGUACCAGGAUCAGGGCGGUGCCAAACCAGUCAUGCAAGUGUAGCGGUUUAGGACACCCAGCAUCAAUCACACAGUCGAGAUUCAGCCACCUCUGAAAAAGAAAACGGCACCACAUCCACAUGAGGCUAUGCGAAGAUGUCUAAACACAGGCCGCAACACACACGGUUCAGACGAUAUCCUCACUUGGUCUGGCUUCUUGCUUGAAGGUAUCACUCUCUCUAUGUGUACUGUACAAUAAAUUCCCCUUGUUCAUCUGGCCUGACGCGUAUGAGUCUUCACUGAAUUUUCACCGAGGUCACAAAAGAACUCAGAAUGUUCCCAAGGACUGGUUCCCGGUGACGGGACCCUGAUUCCUGGUAUCAGAACAUUACAUAACACACAGUUGGGGUAAAGAUAAAAAUAGGUUAAAACAUGUCAUUAGGAGAAUAAUACGUGAUCUGCAUCAGCAUUUUGAGCUUCUCAAUAUUUUUAGUCAACAUAUAUGCUUAAGAAAUCUGGACUCUCUUUGAUCAUUAUAUGCUAUACUACACUGCAGUGGGAGGAAGCCAUAAAUUCUGAAUUGUGCAUUUCCCCCAGGGCCUCUGUAAUAUUAGGAAGUAAUGGCAGCGGAAGAAAGAGAAAAAUAAUGACAGGCAGUGGGUGAAAAAGCA
RNAcentral lists this long non-coding RNA (847 nucleotides) under Fukomys damarensis (Damara mole-rat). RNAcentral describes it as "lncRNA (ENSFDAG00000026936.1)". Lineage: Eukaryota; Metazoa; Chordata; Mammalia; Rodentia; Bathyergidae. The record is from RNAcentral.